Molecule: ribosomal RNA, 2670 nt
Filed under: Acinetobacter baumannii 25691_8
Lineage: Bacteria; Pseudomonadati; Pseudomonadota; Gammaproteobacteria; Moraxellales; Moraxellaceae
Description: bacterial LSU rRNA
Rfam family: Bacterial large subunit ribosomal RNA
Source: RNAcentral
UCAAGUAAUUAAGUGCAUGUGGUGGAUGCCUUGGCAGUCAGAGGCGAUGAAAGACGUGAUAGCCUGCGAAAAGCUCCGGGGAGGCGGCAAAUAUCCUUUGAUCCGGAGAUGUCUGAAUGGGGGAACCCACCUACUUUAAGGUAGGUAUUGCAACAUGAAUACAUAGUGUUGCAAGGCGAACGAGGGGAAGUGAAACAUCUCAGUACCCUUAGGAAAAGAAAUCAAUUGAGAUUCCCUCAGUAGCGGCGAGCGAACGGGGAUCAGCCCAUUAAGUUAUGUGUGUUUUAGUGGAACGCUCUGGGAAGUGCGAACGUAGAGGGUGAUAUUCCCGUACACGAAAGGGCACACAUAAUGAUGACGAGUAGGGCGAGGCACGUGAAACCUUGUCUGAAUAUGGGGGGACCAUCCUCCAAGGCUAAAUACUCCUGACUGACCGAUAGUGAACCAGUACCGUGAGGGAAAGGCGAAAAGAACCCCUGUGAGGGGAGUGAAAUAGAUCCUGAAACCGCAUGCAUACAAGCAGUGGGAGCACCUUCGUGGUGUGACUGCGUACCUUUUGUAUAAUGGGUCAGCGACUUAUAUUCAGUAGCGAGGUUAACCGUAUAGGGGAGCCGUAGAGAAAUCGAGUCUUAAUAGGGCGUUUAGUUGCUGGGUAUAGACCCGAAACCAGGCGAUCUAUCCAUGAGCAGGUUGAAGGUUGGGUAACACUAACUGGAGGACCGAACCCACUGUCGUUGAAAAGCCAGGGGAUGACUUGUGGAUAGGGGUGAAAGGCUAAUCAAGCCUGGUGAUAGCUGGUUCUCCCCGAAAGCUAUUUAGGUAGCGCCUCGGACGAAUACCAUAGGGGGUAGAGCACUGUUUCGGCUAGGGGGUCAUCCCGACUUACCAAACCGAUGCAAACUCCGAAUACCUAUGAGUACUAUCCGGGAGACAGACUGCGGGUGCUAACGUCCGUAGUCAAGAGGAAAACAAUCCAGACCGCCAGCUAAGGCCCCAAAAUCAUAGUUAAGUGGGAAACGAUGUGGGAAGGCAUAGACAGCUAGGAGGUUGGCUUAGAAGCAGCCACCCUUUAAAGAAAGCGUAAUAGCUCACUAGUCGAGUCGGCCUGCGCGGAAGAUGUAACGGGGCUAAAACUAUGUGCCGAAGCUGCGGAUGUAUACUUUGUAUACGUGGUAGGGGAGCGUUCUGUAAGCCGAUGAAGGUGUGUUGAGAAGCAUGCUGGAGGUAUCAGAAGUGCGAAUGCUGACGUGAGUAACGACAAAACGGGUGAAAAACCCGUUCGCCGAAAGACCAAGGGUUCCAGUCCAACGUUAAUCGGGGCUGGGUGAGUCGACCCCUAAGGCGAGGCCGAAAGGCGUAGUCGAUGGGAAAAUGGUUAAUAUUCCAUUACUUCUGUGUAAUGCGAUGAGAGGACGGAGAAGGCUAAAUCAGCCUGGCGUUGGUUGUCCAGGUGAAAGGAUGUAGGCAUGUAUCUUAGGCAAAUCCGGGGUACUCUAUGCUGAGAUCUGAUAGCAAGCUGUACUUGUACAGCGAAGUGGUUGAUGCCAUGCUUCCAGGAAAAGUCUCUAAGCUUCAGUUACACAGGAAUCGUACCCGAAACCGACACAGGUGGUCAGGUCGAGUAGACCAAGGCGCUUGAGAGAACUCUGCUGAAGGAACUAGGCAAAAUGGUACCGUAACUUCGGGAGAAGGUACGCUGUUGUUGGUGAUGGAACUCGCUUCCUGAGCUGACGACAGCCGCAGAAACCAGGCCGCUGCAACUGUUUAUUAAAAACAUAGCACUCUGCAAACACGAAAGUGGACGUAUAGGGUGUGAUGCCUGCCCGGUGCUGGAAGGUUAAUUGAUGGGGUUAGCGUAAGCGAAGCUCUUGAUCGAAGCCCCAGUAAACGGCGGCCGUAACUAUAACGGUCCUAAGGUAGCGAAAUUCCUUGUCGGGUAAGUUCCGACCUGCACGAAUGGCAUAAUGAUGGCGGCGCUGUCUCCAGCAGAGGCUCAGUGAAAUCGAAAUCGCUGUGAAGAUGCAGUGUACCCGCGGCUAGACGGAAAGACCCCGUGAACCUUUACUGCAGCUUGACACUGAACUUUGACCUUACUUGUGUAGGAUAGGUGGGAGGCUUUGAAGCUGGAACGCUAGUUCCAGUGGAGCCGUCCUUGAAAUACCACCCUGGUAAUGUUGAGGUUCUAACUCUGUCCCGUGAUCCGGGACGAGGACCGUGUCUGGUGGGUAGUUUGACUGGGGCGGUCUCCUCCUAAAGAGUAACGGAGGAGUACGAAGGUGCGCUCAGCGUGGUCGGAAAUCACGCGUAGAGUAUAAAGGCAAAAGCGCGCUUAACUGCGAGACCCACAAGUCGAGCAGGUACGAAAGUAGGUCUUAGUGAUCCGGUGGUUCUGUAUGGAAGGGCCAUCGCUCAACGGAUAAAAGGUACUCUGGGGAUAACAGGCUGAUACCGCCCAAGAGUUCAUAUCGACGGCGGUGUUUGGCACCUCGAUGUCGGCUCAUCUCAUCCUGGGGCUGAAGCAGGUCCCAAGGGUAUGGCUGUUCGCCAUUUAAAGAGGUACGCGAGCUGGGUUUAGAACGUCGUGAGACAGUUCGGUCCCUAUCUACCGUGGGCGCUGGAAAUUUGAGAGGAUCUGCUCCUAGUACGAGAGGACCAGAGUGGACGAACCUC